UACGUAGGUGGCAAGCGUUGUCCGGAUUUAUUGAGUUUAAAGGGUGCGUAGGCGGCCCUAUAAGUCAGUGGUGAAAUAUCGCAGCUUAACUGUGAGGGUGCCAUUGAUACUGUAGGGCUCGAGUGAAUUUGAAGUAGGCGGAAUUGACGGUGUAGCGGUGAAAUGCUUAGAUAUCGUCAAGAACACCGAUAGUGAAGACAGCUUACUAAGCUUCAACUGACGCUGAGGCACGAAAGUGUGGGGAUCAAACAGG
Molecule: ribosomal RNA, 253 nt
Filed under: uncultured bacterium
Lineage: Bacteria
Description: partial 16S ribosomal RNA
Rfam family: Bacterial small subunit ribosomal RNA
Source: RNAcentral